AUGCCCCUUUCGGGCGGCCCCGAGGCGCGGACAGAGGCGGCAUUGAGCGCGGGGGCGGCCCGUGGCACCGCACGGAGCGCUGCGGGCCUGGAAGCGCCGCGUCCCACCCCGCCCGUGCCCCGGCCCCGCCGCAGCCUCAGAGCCCCCCGCCCCGCGCCUGGCCCCGGGCAGCAGCGCUCCGUCGCCGACCCCGGCGCUACCGCCCCGAGCCGCAGCGUUCGGGACCCAUCGCCGCGCACAGGACCCGGGCAGCCGUUACCCGGCACACCGCAGCCACCCCGCGCCUCGCCCCCGGCCCCAGCCGCCCCUCGGCCCCUCGCUCACCGCGGCGCCGCCCGAGCGCAGCCGCCGCCUUCCCCGCCGCCAGCAGCCGCCGCCUACAGCUCCCGGCAGCCCCCGCGCCCCGCUACGGCAGCCGGCAGCGACCAAAACAGCGCGGGGCGCGCACGGCGACGGCGAGAACUACAGCUCCCGGCAGCCCCCGCGCUCCGCGGCCGCCGUGGUGGCGCAGUGCCGCGGGGGCUGCCGGGAGCUGCGGUGCACGCUGCUCGGGAGCGGGCCGCCCUGCCCUGGGGCUGCGGAUCGUACUGCCCCCGGGGAAUGGGAACCGCGGUGCGGGCUGUGCUGCGGCCUAGCGCGGGUGGAGCGAGAGGAGCUGAGUGGGAAGCGCGUCCCAGCCGCAGUGGGGCCCUGGCAGUGGGGGAGACAGCGGGAGCGAUGCACGGAGUGCGGCGCGGGCACAGCCUGGGGCUGUCCAGCAUCGGCCCCGUGUCCCCGGGCAGCUGCCGUGCUCCAGGGCCCCUGUUCCUCAGGCUGAGCUGCCCCGUGAAGGGGCAGACCCCGCUGUCCCAACACAGACGUGGUGGCACGUCGCCUGGCUCUGUGCUCAGGGCACGUCCCUGCUCAGGGCUCCAUGGGGCGCUGGGCAUAGGGCAGGGCCAUGGCUCCGUGCUGUGGGGCAGACCCUGCUCCGGAGCACAGCCGCAGCCCCCAGGCCCUGCCCUCCACGCUGCCUCUCACAUCUGGAGCCGCUUUUUGGCACAGACGCCCACAUUCCCUGAGGCCGGGCCGGUGACGGUGGUGGCUGUGGGCCUGGUGCUGGCAGGCGUGGGGUGCACACAUGGUUAA
RNAcentral lists this long non-coding RNA (1128 nucleotides) under Numida meleagris (helmeted guineafowl). RNAcentral describes it as "lncRNA (ENSNMEG00000002591.1)". The record is from RNAcentral. Lineage: Eukaryota; Metazoa; Chordata; Aves; Galliformes; Numididae.